UCGAGCAUGACUUCCCCUUGAUGAACCCAUACUGACUACUCCUGAUAACCUCCACGUGAGGACCUUGGAAAUUGUAUUCCAGGCUCUGUGGCUCCUCCAGAGCUCCUGAAUGAAGGCUGGGGUAUAGAUAACUCAGGAAUGGGAAGAAAACUGUCCAAGGAGCGUCUUUAAGCACGUACAAUUCAGUCACAUAUAGCCAGUAUGAAGGUGGGACAUGCUUAGUGAAGAGACACUGCCUGAGGAUUUCAGCUAUUAAAUUCCAGCACGUCUUUGUGAGAUUGAAGCAUAUGGGGUUUAACAGCUACACUAGCAACAACACAUCCAUUCUGCACAUAUGGCACAAUGAUGUGAGCAGCACAGAGCUAGGACACUACAAGGAAGAUGAAGAGUGGUUUCAUUUAAUCAUGAUCACAUAAAGACAUGAACAGCAGGACUGAAAUGUUUGGGUAGAAACGUCAGUGGGAAGGCUGUAUCCUUGCUAGUUCUCACUACAUUAAACAGAGAAUGAGGAGAAAAACCACUGUUGGACUUUUUGGGGAUGCUGAACUCCCACUCUUGAAAGACGAGAAAAAAACAGAGAAGAGAAUGCAACACAUUACAAUUACUUCUUUACCUAGAUGCUGAAUUGAGGCCUGCAGUUUUGCAAUGUGAAAUUUUUUCUUCUACACUAAUAUCUGUAAACAAGAAGACUGGAUGGCCUUUACUUGAUGAAAGACCACAUUUGUAAGAAUGAAUGUUUUUGAAUAGGAAAUAGUCAAGAAAAUUCCUCUAGCUCCAGAACCGAGUCAGAGAGAAGUGAUAUAGACUUUCUGCAGAAACAGAAAGGUACUUUGUGGAAAGAGAGUGCCUAAUUUCCCAAUUUACUUCUAAUCUAUUGACCAAGUUUAAGGAAAUCAUGCAGUGUGAAAUGUCAGAUGAUUCUGCUCUCUUGUCCUAUGCAAGAGCAAGUUCUUCAAAUGAAGCCAUUCAAAACUUAGUUCAAAUGUAAUAAAAAUUGGUUAUUCAUUAUCCAGAUAAAGUUCUGGAUGUUUAAAAUGUGCAUAUGUGUAAGGGAAAUAAAUGAAAUAAUGGUUAUUUUGCCAGUAUCUCCUUUGCAGCUGGUGGAAUGUAAUGAACUGAGUAUCCUUAAAAACCUAAGUGAUGCAAAAUAUACUUGUACUGAUUUAUUUACAUGUUCUUGUCCAGGCACCUAUGUGCAAAGGAAAAUUAUGUGGUUUAUUUAAAGUGGUCUAGAAAAAUUUUAAAAAGACUGAUAACUUACAAAAGAAAUUUCAAGUUUUCUCCAGUUUUAUCUCACAAAACAGAGGGUUGUCAGUAUAAAGGUGGUUAAGGUCAGUUCAUACUGAUUAAUUACCAAAUGUUUGUUUUCCUGCUCAUAGAAGAAGGAAAUUAUGUCUGCUGGUUUUGGCAAGUCAUGCCACUUCAGAACAGGUUUUACUUUCUUUCUAGAAAUUCAUUCCAUCCCUAAUGAGUUAUUAAUCAGAAAUUAGUGGACUACUAUAAGUCUGUGGGAGAUGAGAUGAAGACCGGUGGAGAUACCUUUCAUCCCAUUUUCCUUCUUUUAUGGGGCCUCAGCUUCUUUUAUAACAGUACACUAUUUAAUAGCCACUGCUGCUUUAGCCUCUAAGUUCAAAAGACCUAUAAAUUUCUUGACUCUGCUUAUCUGUCAUGGAGCAGGAGUGCUACAAUAAAAUAUGGUAAUAAAUUAAUGAUCAAUAAUAGCUGACAAGGUUCCUUCUUGAUCUGCCCUGUGAGACAGCCUGAGCAGCUGGGCCAUGGGAGGGCUUGUGCUUUGUUUCAGGGGAUUACAAGGCAAAGCUGAUGUUUCUGGGUUCUGUCCUAAACUGAUACUGCAGAUAAAUUUUUCAUGGCACAAACUGUUAUUUCACAGCCUUAACUUCUCAGCAGCUGAACUCAAAGGAGAAAACCUAGAGAGGUGAGAACUUCUAUUAUUAUUAUUAUUUUUUCACAGUGGGUUGUUAACUUUGGAAUUUGGUUACAACUGCUUGAGCACCAAAACUAUUCAUAGCUGCCACUAUUAUUACUGUAAUUAACAUAACUUUUAGCCAAUCUGCAGCCAGUUAACAGGUUUUUAUUAGUGAUGGGAUAUGUUUCCUUAGGAGGAAAUGAAGAGACAUUUCAGCACAUUCUCUUUUAAUCUUCCCCAGAUGUAGAACAGUUUAAUGAUUUCUGUUUAUCUUUCAGCUUCCAACUAUCUUCUGUUUUGUAUAUAGACACAGAAGGUGUCCACUCCUGAUCAUGGUUGACAUUUGGAAUUUGAUGUUACUGGUGUGAAUUAAAGGCUCUGUUUGUGCGCUCAAGAAAGAGCACAUUGUAUUACUUGCCUACCUGCUUCUCACUCCCAGGACUGUCUCAAACUCUGCCAAAGAUGCUGGGAAUAGUUGACAGUAUAAUGUUCCAGAAAUAGCAUGAAUACCCAACACUUUGCAUAUAUUAACUAGAAUCAUUCUGAUACAUCUAAUUGCUUUGUAUUAAGUGCUCUAUAUAAAGUAACGUGACAGUUAUCUGUCAUGUAUAUUUACUUCCUCUUUGUUUGAUUUGUCUAAUCUUUAGUAAAUAAACAGCCACAGAGGAGUUUUUCUUCUCUGUUCUCGUGUAGUUGGACAUACUGGAUACUCCAUGAGAUGUAUCUCCGAGCCUUAACUGAAGGAGUGAUAGCUGUGGGAGCAUGAGCUAUUAGGGAAGAGACUACAAGUAACCUGAGCUUCUGGAUUCAUAAUAGGUUUUGCGGCAGAGAAGCGUAGUAUUUUCAGGUUCCCCUACUUGACAGCUACACAGUAGAGUGGAAUUUGUGACUAUGUAUUAGGCAGAGAUUUAAGCCUCAAAACAGGAUUCCCAGACACUUCUGCACUACUUCUAUGCAGAAAGCAGGAACUAUGAGAAAGAAAUGCAGGCAAGAGUUUUUUCUAGACAUCUGCAUCUUAGCUGCUCAUCAUGACUCAAUUUAUAGUCAAUGAAAAGAGGCUGGCACUUCACCUUUUCUGACAGCAAAUGUAUAAAACAGGUCAGCAGGUUUGUCUUAGAAAUGCCUAUUAGUUGAUAAAAGCAGCCUAGCUUUUGGACAUCUACCAAGUGUGGAGACAUCUAAUGACAAGGUGAAUUGCAUUUUCUGCACCGAAAUUAAUUCCUGCCUGACUUAAAGAAGAUUUUGAAUCUAGAAUUCACACUCCAUUGUCCUAUUCUUCCAACAUCCCUCUUGAUACAGAUAAAUGUCCUGUUUUUCAUUUAAAAUAAUGAAGGGUGGGUGUUAUCCACAUUUCAUCUGAGUAAUUCACAACACAUGAGGCUUCAUUUGGGUCCUUUCAGCCUGUUAAGUUUUAAAUCCCUAUUUCCCAAAGUUCUUGAGAGUGAGUAGGCACUCUCUGCAGCUGAUGUUGAUGCUUAGCAUCAGUGGAGAAAAAGAAUGCCAGAUUUAUGAGACUAUGGAGAUUGCAAGUAAGUGAAGAAAUCACUGAAAAGCUAAUAAAAACCAGGAGAUGUCCAUUCAGGUUGUUAGACUCAGCUGAAUGCAGUUCUGAGUAGUAACUAGUGAAUAUUACUGGCAAAAGAUGAAUUGGCUAUAAUUCCUUCGCAAUUAGUGCACUGUGCUGAAUUACCCUGAACUAAAUUUUACCAUUAAGCCUUUGCUUCAGACUUUAAGGUACUGGAAUACAAGGGACUCUUUCCUUUUAUUUGUUUUUAGAUUUAUUUAUAAAGCUAUAUAUAAUAAGAAUUCCAGCUAGUCACUGCAGCACCUGUUGGGAGGAACCUUUCAUUCCUUGGAAAUGAUAAGUCCAUGCACAUUUGAAUUGUCUCAGCAGAUCUCUAGAGUUCCCCUGUGUUUUACUUUAAAAGAAUCUAUAUGGA
Non-coding RNA from Coturnix japonica (Japanese quail), 3867 nucleotides. The record is from RefSeq and is a predicted model, not a curated record. NCBI's taxonomy places the organism in Eukaryota, Metazoa, Chordata, Aves, Galliformes, Phasianidae.